AUUGAACGCUGGCGGCAUGCCUUACACAUGCAAGUCGAACGGUAACAGGUCUUCGGAUGCUGACGAGUGGCGAACGGGUGAGUAAUACAUCGGAACGUGCCUAGUAGUGGGGGAUAACUACUCGAAAGAGUGGCUAAUACCGCAUGAGAUCUACGGAUGAAAGCAGGGGAUCGCAAGACCUUGUGCUACUAGAGCGGCCGAUGGCAGAUUAGGUAGUUGGUGGGAUAAAAGCUUACCAAGCCGACGAUCUGUAGCUGGUCUGAGAGGACGAUCAUCCACACUGGGACUGAGACACGGGCCAGACUCCUACGGGAGGCAGCAGUGGGGAAUUUUGGACAAUGGGCGCAAGCCUGAUCCAGCAAUGCCGCGUGCAGGAUGAAGGCCUUCGGGUUGUAAACUGCUUUUGUACGGAACGAAAAGCCCCGGGUUAAUACCCUGGGGUCAUGACGGUACCGUAAGAAUAAGCACCGGCUAACUACGUGCCAGCCGCCGCCGUAA
This 498-nucleotide ribosomal RNA is filed under the name uncultured bacterium. Its description in RNAcentral is "partial 16S ribosomal RNA". It matches the Rfam family "Bacterial small subunit ribosomal RNA", at positions 30 to 523 of the family's 1533-position model. The record is from RNAcentral.